Molecule: ribosomal RNA, 253 nt
Filed under: uncultured bacterium
Lineage: Bacteria
Description: partial 16S ribosomal RNA
Rfam family: Bacterial small subunit ribosomal RNA
Source: RNAcentral
UACGGAGGGUGCAAGCGUUAUCCGGAUUUACUGGGUUUAAAGGGUGCGUAGGCGGAUAGGUAAGUCAGUGGUGAAAUCUCCGAGCUUAACUCGGAAACUGCCGUUGAUACUAUUUAUCUUGAAUAUUGUGGAGGUAAGCGGAAUAUGUCAUGUAGCGGUGAAAUGCUUAGAUAUGUCAUAGAACACCGAUAGCGAAGGCAGCUCACUAGGCCUGGAUUGACGCUCAGGGACGAAAGCGUGGGGAGCAAACAGG